UACGAAGGGGGCUAGCGUUGCUCGGAAUCACUGGGCGUAAAGGGUGCGUAGGCGGGUCUUUUAAGUCAGGGGUGAAAUCCUGGAGCUCAACUCCAGAACUGCCUUUGAUACUGAAGAUCUUGAGUCCGGGAGAGGUGAGUGGAACUGCGAGUGUAGAGGUGAAAUUCGUAGAUAUUCGCAAGAACACCAGUGGCGAAGGCGGCUCACUGGCCCGAUACUGACGCUGAGGUGCGAAAGCGUGGGGGAGCAAACAGG
This 255-nucleotide ribosomal RNA is filed under the name uncultured bacterium. RNAcentral's name for it is "partial 16S ribosomal RNA". It matches the Rfam family "Bacterial small subunit ribosomal RNA", at positions 524 to 776 of the family's 1533-position model. The record is from RNAcentral.